AGUGAACGCUGGCGGCAGGCCUAACACAUGCAAGUCGAACGAGUGGCGGACGGGUGAGUAAUACAUGGGAAUCUACCCUGUGGAGGGGGAUAACGUCGGGAAACUGACGCUAAUACCGCAUACGAUUGGAUGAGCCGAUGUCGGAUUAGCUAGUUGGUGGGGUAAAGGCUCACCAAGGCGACGAUCCGUAGCUGGUCUGAGAGGAUGAUCAGCCACACUGGGACUGAGACACGGUCCAGACUCCUACGGGAGGCAGCAGUGGGGAAUAUUGGACAAUGGGCGCAAGCCUGAUCCAGCCAUACCGCGUGUGUGAAGAAGGCCUUCGGGUUGUAAAGCCCUUUUGUUGGGAAAGCGGUACCCAAAGAAUAAGCACCGGCUAACUUCGUGCCAGCCGCCGCGGUAAUUC
This 406-nucleotide ribosomal RNA is filed under the name uncultured bacterium. RNAcentral's name for it is "partial 16S ribosomal RNA". It matches the Rfam family "Bacterial small subunit ribosomal RNA", at positions 29 to 526 of the family's 1533-position model. The record is from RNAcentral.